Molecule: ribosomal RNA, 433 nt
Filed under: uncultured bacterium
Lineage: Bacteria
Description: partial 16S ribosomal RNA
Rfam family: Bacterial small subunit ribosomal RNA
Source: RNAcentral
AACGAACGCUGGCGGCAUGCCUAACACAUGCAAGUCGAACGAGACCUUCGGGUCUAGUGGCGCACGGGUGCGUAACGCGUGGGAACCUGCCCUUAGGUUCGGAAUAACUCCCCGAAAGGGGUGCUAAUACCGGAUAAUGUCUUCGGACCAAAGAUUUAUCGCCUUUGGAUGGGCCCGCGUUGGAUUAGCUAGUUGGUAGGGUAAAAGCCUACCAAGGCGACGAUCCAUAGCUGGUCUGAGAGGAUGAUCAGCCACACUGGGACUGAGACACGGCCCAGACUCCUACGGGAAGCAGCAGUGGGGAAUAUUGGACAAUGGGCGGAAGCCUGAUCCAGCAAUGCCGCGUGAGUGAUGAAGGCCUUAGGGUUGUAAAGCUCUUUUACCCGGGAUGAUAAUGACAGUACCGGGAGAAUAAGCGCCGGCUAACUCCGUG